RNAcentral lists this non-coding RNA (45 nucleotides) under Echinostoma caproni. The record is from RNAcentral. Lineage: Eukaryota; Metazoa; Platyhelminthes; Trematoda; Plagiorchiida; Echinostomatidae.
GCACUGCUGACGAGUCCCAAACAGAAUAAAACAGCUGUCCAGUGC